Molecule: ribosomal RNA, 163 nt
Filed under: uncultured bacterium
Lineage: Bacteria
Description: partial 16S ribosomal RNA
Rfam family: Bacterial small subunit ribosomal RNA
Source: RNAcentral
AAUCGCGAAUCAGCAUGUCGCGGUGAAUACGUUCCCGGGCCUUGUACACACCGCCCGUCACACCAUGAGAGUUGGCAAUACCCAACGUACGUGAUCUAACCCGCAAGGGAGGAAGCGUCCUAAGGUAGGGUCAGCGAUUGGGGUGAAGUCGUAACAAGGUAGC